This 377-nucleotide ribosomal RNA is filed under the name uncultured bacterium. Its description in RNAcentral is "bacterial SSU rRNA". It matches the Rfam family "Bacterial small subunit ribosomal RNA", at positions 523 to 898 of the family's 1533-position model. The record is from RNAcentral.
AUACGGAGGGUGCGAGCGUUGUUCGGAAUUACUGGGCGUAAAGCGCGCGCAGGCGGACAUGCAAGUCGGGGGUGAAAUCCUAGGGCUUAACCCUGGGACUGCUUCCGAUACUGCGUGUCUAGGGACCGGUAGAGGUCGGUGGAAUUCCCGGUGUAGCGGUGGAAUGCGUAGAUAUCGGGAAGAACACCUGUGGCGAAGGCGGCCGACUGGGCCGGAUCCGACGCUGAGGCGCGAAAGCGUGGGGAGCAAACAGGAUUAGAUACCCUGGUAGUCCACGCCGUAAACGAUGGGUGCUAGAUGCCGGGGGGAGCGACCCCUUCGGUGUCGUAGCUAACGCGUUAAGCACCCCGCCUGGGGAGUACGGCCGCAAGGCUGAA